RNAcentral lists this ribosomal RNA (330 nucleotides) under uncultured bacterium. Its description in RNAcentral is "bacterial SSU rRNA". It matches the Rfam family "Bacterial small subunit ribosomal RNA", at positions 568 to 898 of the family's 1533-position model. The record is from RNAcentral.
UCCGUAGGCGGUGCGGCAAGUCGGGGGUGAAAUCUCUGGGCUUAACUCAGAGGCUGCCCCCGAAACUGCCGUGCUCGAGUGUGGGAGAGGCGAGCGGAAUUGCAGGUGUAGCGGUGAAAUGCGUAGAUAUCUGCAGGAACACCCGUGGCGAAGGCGGCUCGCUGGACCAUUACUGACGCUGAGGGACGAAAGCUAGGGGAGCAAACAGGAUUAGAUACCCUGGUAGUCCUAGCCCUAAACGAUCAGGACUUGGGGUGUCUCCCGUUCGGGAGACGUCCCGGAGCUAACGCGUUAAGUCCUGCGCCUGGGGAGUACGGUCGCAAGACUGAA